AGCGAUAAGGACGAGAAGUGGAAGGGAGUUGAUUAGUGAGAGUGAAAAAAGAGAUGAGAGUAAAAAAAGAGAGGAAGAGAAAAAAGAUGAGGAGAAAAUAAUAGAGGAGAGCAUUGAUGGUGAAGUUGGGGAGUGGAGUGAGGAAGAAGUUGAAAAGAAUGAAAAGAAUGGUGAAGUUGAAAAUAAAGAAAGUCUGGAAAUCGAAAAAAAUAAGAGUGAUGAAGUGAUGGUGGAGGGAGUGAAAAAGAAAAGAGC
This 255-nucleotide long non-coding RNA is filed under the name Lathyrus oleraceus (garden pea). Its description in RNAcentral is "Pisum sativum (pea) long non-coding RNA (PSAT_LNC012921)". The record is from RNAcentral. Lineage: Eukaryota; Viridiplantae; Streptophyta; Magnoliopsida; Fabales; Fabaceae.